GCCGUCGUAGCUCAGUCGGUGGAGCGUCCGCCUGUUAAGCGGAAGGUCAACGGUUCGAACCCGUUCGACGGCGCCA
This 76-nucleotide transfer RNA is filed under the name Thermoplasmata archaeon. RNAcentral describes it as "tRNA-Asn". It matches the Rfam family "tRNA". Rfam says of the family: Transfer RNA (tRNA) molecules are approximately 80 nucleotides in length. Their secondary structure includes four short double-helical elements and three loops (D, anti-codon, and T loops). The record is from RNAcentral. Lineage: Archaea; Methanobacteriati; Thermoplasmatota; Thermoplasmata.